CAGUAGCCGCGGUAAUACGAAGGGGGCUAGCGUUGCUCGGAAUGACUGGGCGUAAAGGGCGCGUAGGCGGAUUGUUUAGUUAGGCGUGAAAUUCCUGGGCUUAACCUGGGGACUGCGCUUAAUACAGGCAGUCUAGAGUGAGGAAGAGGGUUGUGGAAUUCCCAGUGUAGAGGUGAAAUUCGUAGAUAUUGGGAAGAACACCGGUGGCGAAGGCGGCAACCUGGUCCUUGACUGACGCUGAGGCACGAAAGCGUGGGGAGCAAACAGGAUUAGAUACCCCAGUAGUCCCUGUCUCUUAUAC
RNAcentral lists this ribosomal RNA (301 nucleotides) under uncultured bacterium. Its description in RNAcentral is "partial 16S ribosomal RNA". It matches the Rfam family "Bacterial small subunit ribosomal RNA", at positions 509 to 807 of the family's 1533-position model. The record is from RNAcentral.